RNAcentral lists this ribosomal RNA (507 nucleotides) under Bacillus velezensis. RNAcentral describes it as "bacterial SSU rRNA". It matches the Rfam family "Bacterial small subunit ribosomal RNA", at positions 106 to 598 of the family's 1533-position model. The record is from RNAcentral. Lineage: Bacteria; Bacillati; Bacillota; Bacilli; Caryophanales; Bacillaceae.
GUGAGUAACACGUGGGUAACCUGCCUGUAAGACUGGGAUAACUCCGGGAAACCGGGGCUAAUACCGGAUGGUUGUUUGAACCGCAUGGUUCAGACAUAAAAGGUGGCUUCGGCUACCACUUACAGAUGGACCCGCGGCGCAUUAGCUAGUUGGUGAGGUAACGGCUCACCAAGGCAACGAUGCGUAGCCGACCUGAGAGGGUGAUCGGCCACACUGGGACUGAGACACGGCCCAGACUCCUACGGGAGGCAGCAGUAGGGAAUCUUCCGCAAUGGACGAAAGUCUGACGGAGCAACGCCGCGUGAGUGAUGAAGGUUUUCGGAUCGUAAAGCUCUGUUGUUAGGGAAGAACAAGUGCCGUUCAAAUAGGGCGGCACCUUGACGGUACCUAACCAGAAAGCCACGGCUAACUACGUGCCAGCAGCCGCGGUAAUACGUAGGUGGCAAGCGUUGCCCGGAAUCAUUGGGCGCAAAGGGCUCGCAGGCGGUCUCUCAAGUCUGAUGUGAA